This 492-nucleotide ribosomal RNA is filed under the name uncultured bacterium. RNAcentral's name for it is "partial 16S ribosomal RNA". It matches the Rfam family "Bacterial small subunit ribosomal RNA", at positions 29 to 507 of the family's 1533-position model. The record is from RNAcentral.
AGUGAACGCUGGCGGUAGGCCUAACACAUGCAAGUCGAACGGCAGCACAGUAAGAGCUUGCUCUUACGGGUGGCGAGUGGCGGAUGGGUGAGGAAUACAUCGGCCUCUACUUUUUCGUGGGGGAUAACGUAGGGAAACUUACGCUAAUACCGCAUACCACCUACGGGUGAAAGCAGGGGAGCUUCGGACCUUGCGCGAUUGAAUGAGCCGAUGUCGGAUUAGCUAGUUGGCGGGGUAAAGGCCCACCAAGGCGACGAUCCGUAGCUGGUCUGAGAGGAUGAUCAGCGACACUGGAACUGAGACACGGUCCAGACUCCUACGGGAGGCAGCAGUGGGGAAUAUUGGACAAUGGGCGCAAGCAUGGUCCAGCCAUACCGCGUGGGUGAAGAAGGCCUUCGGGUUGUAAAGCCCUUUUGUUGGGAAAGAAAAGCAGCAGGUUAAUACCCCGCUGUUCUGACGGUACCCAAAGAAUAAGCACCGGCUAACUUCGUG